GACCUCGGAUCAGGCGGGAAUACCCGCUGACUUA
Molecule: ribosomal RNA, 34 nt
Filed under: Coenogonium luteum
Lineage: Eukaryota; Fungi; Ascomycota; Lecanoromycetes; Ostropales; Coenogoniaceae
Description: partial 28S ribosomal RNA
Source: RNAcentral